Drosophila teissieri is the source of this 1109-nucleotide long non-coding RNA. RefSeq lists it as uncharacterized. Lineage: Eukaryota; Metazoa; Arthropoda; Insecta; Diptera; Drosophilidae. The transcript is spliced from 3 exons. The record is from RefSeq and is a predicted model, not a curated record.
UAAGGUUCAUAUAAUAUAGUGGUAUUAAUUCGUUCUUCGCAAAUUCGUUAAGGCUUUAUAAUCUAAUUAUAUGCCCCUCUAGUUAUGGUUAAUUAGUUUUCGAUCGCUAUUUCGUUUUGGAAACAUUUAUCUUUGUUGCAACAGCACUUAUAUUCCUUUAGACUUCAAAGCCAAAUAUUUAGGCACAACAUUUGACUUUGCUGCCAAAGUAAAUAUCUCAAGUAGUGAGCUGUGCUCCAAAUUCGCUGGGGUUUUAAUUGUGUGUCAAAGUUUUAAUAUUAUAAGAUCAUCGGAUUUUAUUCGGAUUUUAAAAUCAUUUUAGAAAUGCAUGGAUAUAUAAAAUGAGUAUGCAACUGCAACUCUAUAGAUAUUCAUAAACGAUAGGAACAGCGAUAACAUGAUUCAGGUUACAUAUAACAAUGGCACCGCAUCCGAAGUAGCCGGCAUUGUCUCGGCCACCAUAUUGAGAAACACGGUCAGCGAGAGCAGGAUGGUAACACCUAGAUAUCAGAUGGAAAGUUCCCAUUAAGUAACGAGGUUUGUGCAUGGAAAAUCAAGGCAGUGGCGCCAUACUUGUCGUUAAGUAUGGCAUUACAUUCAGAAUCCAUUGUGGUUUUGGUUUAAAUAGUUUACAAGUAAGUAUAAAGUGUUAAAUCUAAUGAAAAAUCAAGUCCUUCGCCCUUUUAGUUCAGUGUUCCUAGCAAAGCCAUUUCUCACCGCUGCCCGAAAUUUCUUACACUUCACUAAUUGUUUUUCGAAGCAUUUGGAAUGUCAUGACCCAUCAUUAACACUUCCUGAGGCAGUGCAACCCCCCACAGCUUUUGGUACCAUGCACUUUCCAACUCGCCCCGACUAGCCAUUCAGUUUUGUGUACUCAAGGAGCUAGGUCGAGUCCCAGAGUCCCAACUGAUUUUCCGAGCCACUAAUGCCACGUCCUGUCGACAGACAGCACACUUUGAGGAGCAUUCCCCGACUCGUUGAACACUUUACACUACUCUCAGCCCCGAUGGCAGCGUUAAAAGUUCAAUAGUUUGCUUACCAUCGUUGAGACUGUGGCGUCAUCCGCAGGCCCAAACUGGCGGAUGGGUGGCGAUGGCCAUAAUGGAUAA